AAUUUUGGACAAUGGGGGAAACCCUGAUCCAGCCUUCCUGCGCGUAUGAUGAAGGCCUUCGGGUUGUAAAGUCCUUUUGGCAGAGCAGUAAAGGUAUCUCCUAGUACGAGAUACUGCUGACGGUAUCUGCAGAAUAAGCACGGGCUAUCUACGUGCCAGCAGCCGCCGUAAUACGUAGGGUGCAAGCGUUAAUCGGAAAUACUGGGCGUAAAGCGGUGGUAGGCGGUUCGGAAAGAAAGAUGUGAAAUCCCAGGGCUCAACCGUGGAACUGCAUUUUUAACUGCCGAGCUAGAGUAUGUCAGAGGGGGGUAGAAUUCCACGUGUAGCAGUGAAAUGCGUAGAUAUGUGGAGGAAUACCGAUGGCGAAGGCAGCCCCCUGGGAUAAUACUGACGCUCAGACACGAAAGCGUGGGGAGCAAACA
RNAcentral lists this ribosomal RNA (422 nucleotides) under uncultured bacterium. RNAcentral describes it as "partial 16S ribosomal RNA". It matches the Rfam family "Bacterial small subunit ribosomal RNA", at positions 360 to 774 of the family's 1533-position model. The record is from RNAcentral.